UUACUUUGCAUUGAGUUUGGUUCAUCGGCGGCGAAUUGCCAACGAUGCUAAGAGGGAACCGGGUGAAAAUCCCGGACAGUACCCGCUGCUGUAAGUCCUGAAAAAGGGCGCGGUAAUUCCCCUGCCACUGUUCCGAUACGCAAGGAACGGGAAGGCACCGCGCCGGGACAAGUCAGAAGACCUGCCAGGCGUUUUUUCAUGAA
RNAcentral lists this non-coding RNA (203 nucleotides) under Bacteroidota bacterium. The record is from RNAcentral. Lineage: Bacteria; Pseudomonadati; Bacteroidota.